RNAcentral lists this ribosomal RNA (767 nucleotides) under Moseleya latistellata. RNAcentral describes it as "eukaryotic LSU rRNA". It matches the Rfam family "Eukaryotic large subunit ribosomal RNA", at positions 42 to 634 of the family's 3401-position model. The record is from RNAcentral. Lineage: Eukaryota; Metazoa; Cnidaria; Anthozoa; Scleractinia; Lobophylliidae.
AUUAAUAAGCGGAGGAAAAGAAACUAACAAGGAUUCCCUCAGUAACGGCGAGUGAAGCGGGAAGAGCUCAAAUUUGAAAUCUCCGAUGCUUGCAUCGGCGAGUUGUAAUUGCGAGAAGCACUUUCUAGGCGGAUCGGUGGUGCCUAAGUUGCUUGGAACAGCACGUCGCAGAGGGUGACAACCCCGUCUGUGGCGCGACCGGCCGCUGACGAUGUGCUUUCGAAGAGUCGGGUUGUUUGGGAAUGCAGCCCAAAAUGGGUGGUAAACUCCAUCUAAAGCUAAAUACUGGCGUGAGACCGAUAGCGAACAAGUACCGUGAGGGAAAGAUGAAAAGAACUUUGAAAAGAGAGUUAAAAAGUACGUGAAACCGUUGAAAGGGAAACGAAUGGACUCAGCAAUGCGCCGUUUGAGAUUCAGCCGGUGGGCUGCCUCGGCGCCGGGUUUGCGGAUCUGAAUGGACCGCGGCCCGGCGCUCGUGGUCUCCCGCCGUCGCACUUCUCUUGGGCGCGCGUCAACGUCGGUUGGGACUGGGUCUGAAAGGUGCCGGGAAGGUAGGUGUGGGCCUUCGGGUCCGUUCUGUUACAGCCCGGCUCUCUCCUGGCUCGGGCCCGACCGAGGCGGUUGCAGGGCAUGCCUCCUGUGGCUAGGGUCCCGUCCUUCCGGCCGGCUGUCGACUGCGGUGGACUGCUUGCAGUGCUCGGCGAACGCUGCCGGUCGUUGGGGUGGUGAUCUCGUACCAUGCCCUUAGGAUGUUGGCGGUCAUAUGG